Onychostoma macrolepis is the source of this 811-nucleotide long non-coding RNA. RefSeq lists it as uncharacterized. The transcript has 3 exons. NCBI's taxonomy places the organism in Eukaryota, Metazoa, Chordata, Actinopteri, Cypriniformes, Cyprinidae. The record is from RefSeq and is a predicted model, not a curated record.
AGUAUAAUACUGCAAAUUCCCUUUACAGUAAAUAACUGCAAUACCCUUUGUAUCAUGGGAAUUUCCAGUGACGUCAAACCCCACAUACAGAGACUUACUGUAUUUUUUUAAAUUGCUGUAUACUACUGUAUUUCCUGUAACGGCCUCUUUGGCGCCAUUCUAUUGAGGUUGUUUUAUUUUCCUCAUUUCUUACAUUUGAAUUGAUACGAUUUGCACAACACUGUUUCUACAAUGACGCAACAGCUUGGGACUUACUACACUGGAUGUUUUACAUCGCUUGUAAUGACUGGAAAAUCCGUUUGUCCUUCAUGUCCGAAACAGCGCGAGCGCUUGGAGUACAUCUGUAGGCUAUAAGUCAGAAAUAUACGGGGGCAUCACUUCACUGUCCGCAUCCACUGUAGGUAAUAUAAUAGGUUCUAUAUUGUCUUUUCGAGUCACGCUGCGCCGCGCCACUGGCGUCCGAGGAAGACACAGAGGCAGCGGGGCAGCGCCGCGGGUUUUGCACGGGGAUGAACCCGCGAGAGUGGAAGAGCUCCGGAGGACAUCUGCGCUGUGUGUGGAUGCACCUUACCUGCAAGCAAGGCAACUGCAAUGAAGCAUCAAGAAAUUCAUGAGCCUGCCAGCCACCCCGAGACUGAUUAUUCAUGAGAAGACUUUUCUGUCACUAACAAAGUGGAUGGUGAGCAAAGGUGGUGGCCACAUUUUGGAGCAGCACCUGGGUUUUGCAGAUGGCUAUGUAUUUUUGUGAGGAUAAAUCCAGAGGAUACUACAUAAUCCACUGCAAAACGUCCUAAGACAGGAGAAAUGGUGA